UUAAUAGAAGCCAAAAAGAGGCUUAUCACUGUUAAUGAUAGAACUGAAAUUUUUUCCUAUUAAG
Molecule: transfer RNA, 64 nt
Filed under: Curtonida isos
Lineage: Eukaryota; Metazoa; Arthropoda; Malacostraca; Decapoda; Munididae
Description: Munida isos tRNA-Asn
Source: RNAcentral